RNAcentral lists this ribosomal RNA (240 nucleotides) under uncultured microorganism. RNAcentral's name for it is "partial 16S ribosomal RNA". It matches the Rfam family "Bacterial small subunit ribosomal RNA", at positions 9 to 245 of the family's 1533-position model. The record is from RNAcentral.
GAGUUUGAUCGUGGCUCAGAUUGAACGCUGGCGGCAUGCCUUACACAUGCAAGUCGAACGGCAGCAUGAUCUAGCUUGCUAGAUUGAUGGCGAGUGGCGAACGGGUGAGUAAUACGAUCGGAACGUGCCCUGUAGUGGGGAUAACUAGUCGAAAGAUUAGCUAAUACCGCAUACGACCUGAGGGUGAAAGUGGGGGACCGCAAGGCCUCAUGCUAUAGGAGCGGCCGAUGUCUGAUUAGC